AGUCGUCCCUCUUCCAGUGCAGCCACCGUGGCUGGGGCGUCCACAACUGCAACCAUGGUGAAGAUGCUGGUGUUGUGUGCUCAGGUGCCCUAAGUACAACCACACCCAGCACCACCAGCUCUGCUCCUUCAGAUGCCACCAUCCGCCUGGUG
This is a long non-coding RNA of Corvus hawaiiensis (hawaiian crow), 152 nucleotides long. RefSeq lists it as uncharacterized. The record is from RefSeq and is a predicted model, not a curated record. The transcript has 3 exons. NCBI's taxonomy places the organism in Eukaryota, Metazoa, Chordata, Aves, Passeriformes, Corvidae.